GCCGGCGGCAGGCCUAACACAUGCAAGUCGAACGGUAACAGGAAGCAGCUUGCUGCUUCGCUGACGAGUGGCGGACGGGUGAGUAAUGUCUGGGAAGCUGCCUGAUGGAGGGGGAUAACUACUGGAAACGGUAGCUAAUACCGCAUAAUGUCGCAAGACCAAAGAGGGGGACCUUCGGGCCUCUUGCCAUCGGAUGUGCCCAGAUGGGAUUAGCUUGUUGGUGGGGUAACGGCUCACCAAGGCGACGAUCCCUAGCUGGUCUGAGAGGAUGACCAGCCACACUGGAACUGAGACACGGUCCAGACUCCUACGGGAGGCAGCAGUGGGGAAUAUUGCACAAUGGGCGCAAGCCUGAUGCAGCCAUGCCGCGUGUAUGAAGAAGGCCUCGGGUUGUAAAGUACUUUCAGCGGGGAGGAAGGGAGUAAAGUUAAUACCUUUGCUCAUUGACGUUACCCGCAGAAGAAGCACCGGCUAACUCCGUGCCAGCAGCCGCGGUAAUACGGAGGGUGCAAGCGUUAAUCGGAAUUACUGGGCGUAAAGCGCACGCAGGCGGUUUGUUAAGUCAGAUGUGAAAUCCCCGGGCUCAACCUGGGAACUGCAUCUGAUACUGGCAAGCUUGAGUCUCGUAGAGGGGGGUAGAAUUCCAGGUGUAGCGGUGAAAUGCAUAGAGAUCUGGAGGAAUACCGGUGGCGAAGGCGGCCCCCUGGACGAAGACUGACGCUCAGGUGCGAAAGCGUGGGGAGCAAACAGGAUUAGAUACCCUGGUAGUCCACGCCGUAAACGAUGUCGACUUGGAGGUUGUGCCCUUGAGGCGUGGCUUCCGGAGCUAACGCGUUAAGUCGACCGCCUGGGGAGUACGGCCGCAAGGUUAAAACUCAAAUGAAUUGACGGGGGCCCGCACAAGCGGUGGAGCAUGUGGUUUAAUUCGAUGCAACGCGAAGAACCUUACCUGGUCUUGACAUCCACGGAAGUUUUCAGAGAUGAGAAUGUGCCUUCGGGAACCGUGAGACAGGUGCUGCAUGGCUGUCGUCAGCUCGUGUUGUGAAAUGUCGGGUUAAGUCCCGCAACGAGCGCAACCCUUAUCCUUUGUUGCCAGCGGUCCGGCCGGGAACUCAAAGGAGACUGCCAGUGAUAAACUGGAGGAAGGUGGGGAUGACGUCAAGUCAUCAUGGCCCUUACGACCAGGGCUACACACGUGCUACAAUGGCGCAUACAAAGAGAAGUGACCUCGCGAGAGCAAGCGGACCUCAUAAAGUGCGUCGUAGUCCGGAUUGGAGUCUGCAACUCGACUCCAUGAAGUCGGAAUCGCUAGUAAUCGUGGAUCAGAAUGCCACGGUGAAUACGUUCCCGGGCCUUGUACACACCGCCCGUCACACCAUGGGAGUGGGUUGCAAAAGAAGUAGGUAGCUUAACCUUCGGGAGGGCGCUUACCACUUUGUGAUUCAUGACUGGGGUG
This 1456-nucleotide ribosomal RNA is filed under the name metagenome. Its description in RNAcentral is "bacterial SSU rRNA". It matches the Rfam family "Bacterial small subunit ribosomal RNA". The record is from RNAcentral.